ACCUGGAGUAGCUCAGUUGGUAGAACACGAGGCCCUUAAUUUCAAGGUCACAGGUUUGAACCCCACGUCAGGUG
This is a non-coding RNA of Podarcis lilfordi (Lilford's wall lizard), 74 nucleotides long. The record is from the annotation of a GenBank genome assembly. NCBI's taxonomy places the organism in Eukaryota, Metazoa, Chordata, Lepidosauria, Squamata, Lacertidae.